Molecule: ribosomal RNA, 1551 nt
Filed under: Triticum aestivum (bread wheat)
Lineage: Eukaryota; Viridiplantae; Streptophyta; Magnoliopsida; Poales; Poaceae
Description: partial small subunit ribosomal RNA
Source: RNAcentral
AUGGAGCAGUUUACCACGCUGCUGCUGCUGCCAUACUACCGCUUCGGCUUAUGCCUCUUCUGUGCUCUCUUCCUCUAUGCCGUCCUGCGCGCCGUCUUGGGCGGCGCCCAGCACACGCGGCAUUGGCCUGACCGGGGGCUACCUCCCGGUCCGUGGCAGCUGCCGGUCAUCGGCAGCCUACACCACCUGCUUGGCGGGCUCCCGCACCGCACCAUGCGCGACCUCUCACUCCACUACGGCCCGCUCAUGCUGCUCCGGGUUUGCGAGCGCGUGCUGGUUGUCGUCUCCUCCGCCGAGGCCGUGCGGGACAUCGCCAAGGGCCACGACGUCGCCUUCUCGGAGCGGCUGACCGGCCCGGGCGUCGACGAGCUCACUAGGCACGGCCAGGGGAUCAUGUUCGCGCCCUACGGCGAGCACUGGCGCGUGAUCCGCCGGAUCAUCAUGACGGAGCUGGUCAGCGCGCGCCGUGUCAGGUCGUUCGGGCGCAUCCGCGAGGAGGAGGCUGCCUGCCUCGUCUCGUCGCUACGGGCGGCGACGCCCGGUGCUGGCCCGCAGCUCGUCAACAUCGACGAGCGGCUCGACGAGUUCGUGCUCGAGUCGGUCGUCCGCGCCAUCUACGGGGACAAGCUGCCCGAGCGCACCGCGUUCCACAGGCUGGUCAGGCAAGGAGUGCAACUGUCGUCGCUGUUUGACCUCCGCGAUCUCUUCCCUUCGUCACGGCUGGUGCGGCUUCUGCCGCGGAGAUGCGGCAAGGCCGCGCGUUACCGACAGGAGAUGUCCCGCCUCAUGGAGACCAUCCUCAGGACUCACGAGGAGAGGAGGUCGGCCAGAGUUGACGACGAGCGUGACAUGGUGGACGUGUUGCUGAGGAUCCAGAAGGAAGCCGACAUGCCAAUUUCCAUAACCCACGGCGUCAUAAGAGAAGUGCUCAAGGAUGUAUUCGGUGCGGGGCUUGACACCACAAUGAUUACCCUGCGAUGGGUGAUGGCUGAAUUAAUGGUGAACCCAGGGGUGAUGCAGAAAGCACAAUCAGAGAUACGCCACGUUCUUGCAGGACAGGCCAGAGUACAUGAGGCUGCCCUAAAUGACCUACACUACCUCAGAGCAGUUAUCAAGGAGACCUUGCGGCUGCACCCUCCCGGACCACUCGUACCCAGAAUGUGUUUGCAAGAUUGCAAGAUUCAAGGACACGUCGUGCCACAAGGCGCAAUUGUGGUCACCAACGUAUGGGCAAUAUCUAGGGACCCGAAGUACUGGUAUGAGCCGGAGAAAUUCAUGCCGGAGAGGUUUAAGGCUGACGGUGUUGCGGACUUUAGAGGCACGAACUUCGAGUUCACUCCUUUUGGGGUCGGUCGGAGAAUCUGCCCGGGGAUAGGAUUCGCAAAUGCCAAUAUUGAGAUUGCUCUGGCUAGUCUUCUUUACCAUUAUGAUUGGGAGCUGCCCGCCGGAGUUAACCCUGAGGAAGUAGACAUGACAGAGGUGUUUGGAGCCACAGUUACCAAGAAGGCGGACCUGUAUCUGCAUCCUGUUCCCCGUUUCCCCCUCUAUUAG